UACGUAGGCAGCGAGCGUUGUUCGGAGUUACUGGGCGUAAAGGGUGCGCAGGCGGUGGAGCAAGUCUGAUGUGAAAUCUCCCGGCUUAACCGGGAGGGUGCGUUAGAAACUGUUCUGCUGGAGUGAGGGAGAGGCAAGCGGAAUUCCUGGUGUAGCGGUGGAAUGCGCAGAUAUCAGGAGGAACACCGGUGGCGAAGGCGGGACUCUGGGCCAGUACUGACGCUGAUGCGCGAAAGCGUGGGGAGCAAACAGG
This 253-nucleotide ribosomal RNA is filed under the name uncultured bacterium. RNAcentral describes it as "partial 16S ribosomal RNA". It matches the Rfam family "Bacterial small subunit ribosomal RNA", at positions 524 to 776 of the family's 1533-position model. The record is from RNAcentral.